ACUUGAGCAAAAUCUGGCAUAACUCUCAUUGGCUUGCCCUGAUCUCCUCGAUCAAUUAUUUCACUAGUUUGCCAAGUCCUUGGGGUACUCUCAUUGCUGCUGCUAUAACAGCAAUUAUGUGCAAUUGUUGGCCCAGCCAAUCCAGCAUCAUCUUUAGUCACCUGAGACACAUUGACUGGUGCCAAAGAGUUAAAACCCCGGGUUGUUAAACUUCCACCAGUCAUUGGAUUUCCAAGAACUGAUGACGAAUCUGGUCUGUAAACAUAUCCACGCUCUAAUGAAGCUGAUGAAGAUUGAAAUGGACCAGUCACCUGGGAGACAACUGGAGCAUUUUUAGCUGCCUUUUGCGGGUAUGGAUGAGCUGCUUUUCUCUUUGGCCGAGGUGGAGGAACAUGUUCGCUUGUCCCACUCUUUUGAACCUUCAGAAAGUACUUCUGCGCAUGGCUACGUAUCUGGAUGACCGUCUUUGACCCAACAAAAGCUUCAAUCUUUUUCCAGUCACGAUCAAAUAGUUGAAGAGCUUCUAGAAACUUGUCGUGCUCUUGUUCCGUCCAGCUUUCUCUAGACUUAGUGAUAGUAUACGGUUUCCGGAUCUUCUUACUCGGAUCGUCCGCAAAUGCUACAGUAUUAGCAGCCGCACUCGUCGUGGAAGCCGAAGUGUUAACCGCCGUUGUAUUAGUAGCAAUAGUGGUGUCAGUAGUAGUAGUAUUGGUAGAAGUCAUCGGCGGCCGUAGAGAAUUCAGACCAGUAAGUCCCAUACCCAUGGGAUCGAAGAAGUAAAACCCCUGAGCUGGGUUGGGGUUCACCGACACCAUAAGCUAUAAAGCAAGAAGACGAAAGUGCUUCCCAAAACGAUUUCGUUUGGAGUUCCGUACCGGUAAACCUUUGCAGUGGUCAGCUCGUUCUCUUGGGUUUCGUUUGGUUUACUGUCCUCUGG
RNAcentral lists this unclassified non-coding RNA (937 nucleotides) under Hevea brasiliensis (rubber tree). The record is from RNAcentral. Lineage: Eukaryota; Viridiplantae; Streptophyta; Magnoliopsida; Malpighiales; Euphorbiaceae.